RNAcentral lists this ribosomal RNA (514 nucleotides) under Candidatus Pacearchaeota archaeon. RNAcentral's name for it is "bacterial SSU rRNA". It matches the Rfam family "Archaeal small subunit ribosomal RNA", at positions 1 to 531 of the family's 1478-position model. Lineage: Archaea; Nanobdellati. The record is from RNAcentral.
UCCAGUUUAUCCUGCUGGCGGAUACGGCUAUCUGGUUUAUANUUAGGCAUGCAAGUUUAAUAGCAAUAUUGGCGAACUGCUUAGUAACACGUAGCUAACCUACCCUAAAGUCAAGGAUAACCUCGGGAAACUGAGGGUAAACCUUGAUAGGAAACAAUUUCUGUAAUGAUGUGUUUCUGAAACUCGAGCUUUAGGAUGGGGCUGCGGCUGAUUAGCUUGUUGUUGGUGUAAUAGACUAACAAGGCGAUGAUCAGUAAGGGCUCUUAGCGGAGAGGCCCUAAGAAGGAAUCUUAGACACUAUUCCUAGUCCUACGGGGUGCAGCAGCUGAGGAAAUUUUACAAUGCACGAAAGUGUGAUAGAAUAAACCAGAGUGAUUCUCUAUGAGAAUCUUUUGUCUACUGUAAAAAGGUAGACGAAUAAGGACUGGGCAAGACCGGUGCCAGCCGCCGCGGUAAUACCGGCGGUCCAAGUCGUAUCCACAUUUAUUGGGUCUAAAACAUUCGUAGCUUGUUU